UAGGGGAGCCGAAGGGAAACCGAGUCUUAACUGGGCGUUAAGUUGCAGGGUAUAGACCCGAAACCCGGUGAUCUAGCCAUGGGCAGGUUGAAGGUUGGGUAACACUAACUGGAGGACCGAACCGACUAAUGUUGAAAAAUUAGCGGAUGACUUGUGGCUGGGGGUGAAAGGCCAAUCAAACCGGGAGAUAGCUGGUUCUCCCCGAAAGCUAUUUAGGUAGCGCCUCGUGAAUUCAUCUCCGGGGGUAGAGCACUGUUUCGGCAAGGGGGUCAUCCCGACUUACCAACCCGAUGCAAACUGCGAAUACCGGAGAAUGUUAUCACGGGAGACACACGGCGGGUGCUAACGUCCGUCGUGAAGAGGGAAACAACCCAGACCGCCAGCUAAGGUCCCAAAGUCAUGGUUAAG
This 408-nucleotide ribosomal RNA is filed under the name Escherichia coli. RNAcentral's name for it is "partial 23S ribosomal RNA". It matches the Rfam family "Bacterial large subunit ribosomal RNA", at positions 658 to 1063 of the family's 2925-position model. RNAcentral also lists the same sequence under 1 other name. Lineage: Bacteria; Pseudomonadati; Pseudomonadota; Gammaproteobacteria; Enterobacterales; Enterobacteriaceae. The record is from RNAcentral.